GUGGGGAAUUUUGGACAAUGGGCGAAAGCCUGAUCCAGCCAUGCCGCGUGUGUGAAGAAGGUCUUCGGAUUGUAAAGCACUUUAAGUUGGGAGGAAGGGCAGUAAGUUAAUACCUUGCUGUUUUGACGUUACCGACAGAAUAAGCACCGGCUAACUUCGUGCCAGCAGCCGCGGUAAUACGAAGGGUGCAAGCGUUAAUCGGAAUUACUGGGCGUAAAGCGCGCCUAGGUGGUUUUGUAAGUUGGAGGUGAAAUCCCCGGGCUCAACCUGGGAACUGCCUCCAAAACUGCAUGACUAGAGUACGGUAGAGGGUAGUGGAAUUUCCUGUGUAGCGGUGAAAUGCGUAGAUAUAGGAAGGAACACCAGUGGCGAAGGCGACUACCUGGACUGAUACUGACACUGAGGUGCGAAAGCGUGGGGAGCAAACAGGAUUAGAUACCCGAGUAGUCC
This 450-nucleotide ribosomal RNA is filed under the name uncultured bacterium. RNAcentral's name for it is "partial 16S ribosomal RNA". It matches the Rfam family "Bacterial small subunit ribosomal RNA", at positions 354 to 796 of the family's 1533-position model. The record is from RNAcentral.